RNAcentral lists this ribosomal RNA (407 nucleotides) under uncultured bacterium. Its description in RNAcentral is "partial 16S ribosomal RNA". It matches the Rfam family "Bacterial small subunit ribosomal RNA", at positions 30 to 526 of the family's 1533-position model. The record is from RNAcentral.
AUUGAACGCUGGCGGCAGGCCUAACACAUGCAAGUCGAGCGGAGCGGCGGACGGGGGCGUAAUGCCUAGGAAUCUGCCUGGGAGUGGGGGAUAACGUCCGGAAACGGGCGCUAAUACCGCAUACUAUCAGAUUAGCCUAGGCCGGGUUAGCUAGUCGGUGGGGUAAAGGCCGACCAAGGCGACGAUCCGUAACUGGUCUGAGAGGAUGUUCAGUCACACUGGAACUGAGACACGGGCCAGACUCCUACGGGAGUCAGCAGUGGGGAAUAUUGGACAAUGGGCGAAAGCCUGAUCCAGCCAUGCCGCGUGUGUGAAGAAGGUCUUCGGAUUGUAAAGCACUUUAAGUUGGGAGGCGUUACCAACAGAAUAAGCACCGGCUAACUUCGUGCCAGCAGCCGCGGUAAUUC